CCCUUAGAUGUUCUGGGCUGCACGCGCGCGACAAUGACGUUUGCAACGAGAUUGCGAGGCCGUCAGGUCGAGCUGAUCUUGCAAGCUGCGUCGUGAUAGGGACAGUCGAUUGCAAUUAUUCGACUCGAACGAGGAAUUCCUUGUAAUCGCGCAUCAUCAGUGCGCGCUGAAUACGUCCCUGCCCUUUGUACACACCGCCCGUCGCUCCUACCGAUUGAAUGUUCCGGUGAGCUCUUCGGACUGCGCGGUCUGCAGUUUCUGCGUUCCGUGCGGAAAGUUGCGCAAACCUUAACAUUUAGAGGAAGGAGAAGUCGUAACA
RNAcentral lists this ribosomal RNA (319 nucleotides) under uncultured eukaryote. Its description in RNAcentral is "partial 18S ribosomal RNA". It matches the Rfam family "Eukaryotic small subunit ribosomal RNA", at positions 1470 to 1796 of the family's 1831-position model. The record is from RNAcentral.